UACGAAGGGUGCAAGCGUUAAUCGGAAUUACUGGGCGUAAAGCGUGCGUAGGCGGUUGGCUAAGUCAGAUGUGAAGGCCCUGGGCUCAACCUGGGAAUGGCAUUUGAAACUGGCGAGCUAGAGUGUGAUAGAGGAUGGCGGAAUUCCCGGUGUAGCGGUGAAAUGCGUAGAGAUCGGGAGGAACAUCCGUGGCGAAGGCGGCCAUCUGGAUCAACACUGACGCUGAGGCACGAAAGCGUGGGGAGCAAACAGG
This 253-nucleotide ribosomal RNA is filed under the name uncultured bacterium. Its description in RNAcentral is "partial 16S ribosomal RNA". It matches the Rfam family "Bacterial small subunit ribosomal RNA", at positions 524 to 776 of the family's 1533-position model. The record is from RNAcentral.